This 203-nucleotide long non-coding RNA is filed under the name Elaeis guineensis (African oil palm). Its description in RNAcentral is "long non-coding RNA (EGUI_LNC031119)". Lineage: Eukaryota; Viridiplantae; Streptophyta; Magnoliopsida; Arecales; Arecaceae. The record is from RNAcentral.
CAUACGAUCGACUUCCAGAUGAAAUCUUGCACUUUUGCUUCUAUGAUUUUUGCUAGCGGUUCGGCUUCAACCCAUUUGGUGAAGUAGUCGAUCGCUACAAGGAGGAACUUCCUCUGCCCCGACGCCAUGGGAAAGGGGCCAAGGAUGUCCAUCCCCCAUUGCGCAAAAGGCCAUGGGACACUCAAGGGUGUAAGCUCGGUGGC